This 202-nucleotide long non-coding RNA is filed under the name Elaeis guineensis (African oil palm). RNAcentral's name for it is "long non-coding RNA (EGUI_LNC012561)". The record is from RNAcentral. Lineage: Eukaryota; Viridiplantae; Streptophyta; Magnoliopsida; Arecales; Arecaceae.
UUUCUACCUUCUAAGUCCAGUUCUGAUUUACCUCUAGAGGAUCUCUUUAUCCUCUUUAUAUAGAGAGUUUGUUAGAUCGUUGAUGAAAUUUAUUAGGCCAUCGGCAACCACCUAAUUUAGAGGAUUUAGUUUGUUAGGCGGUUUUGAGUAACCAUCUUAGUUUGUUAGCCAUUGGUUAUAACAAAUUGACCAGCUGUAGAGA